CUGCUGCACAAGAGCCAAUUAUUGACGAACGUGUUGAUGAGUUAUGCGAGACAGACUGUUGUCUGCCUCACACAGUACAAGGCUACCAAGGUCAUUUGAACUGUUUACAGGAUGGGUAUCACGUGGAAGUCCUGGAGUCAUCCUUCUCCUUGGAAACUCCUCAUUCUUCUAAGGACACGGUGACAUGAAGAUUGGCAGAGGCUGUAGCCAUCAGCCGAGGACCUGUUCGCUACUGGCAGAGUUGGAAGUCCUGCAGCUUCAAGAGGAGGAGGCCAUAGGCAGGGAGCAGUUCUAGAAGUAAAAGCAGCUUUUGUUUUAAGAAUUACUUUGCAAAGCUGACGAUGCACAGGAGACCCAACUCCUAGAGGAAAGCCAAGCCUUGCUGAAAUCCACGAGCUAUUCCCCAGCACAGAUUGCUCCCUGAAUGCAUGUGGGCAGGAGCUGGAUGAAUAAGGAGAAGUAAGUUAGGGCUUUGCUUGGACCCACAAUUCACCUGACCCCAUG
This 504-nucleotide long non-coding RNA is filed under the name Columba livia (rock pigeon). RNAcentral's name for it is "partial uncharacterized LOC102098385, transcript variant X2". Lineage: Eukaryota; Metazoa; Chordata; Aves; Columbiformes; Columbidae. The record is from RNAcentral.